AACGGUCUAUACCUGCGGUACCUGCGGAGGGAUCAUUAUCAAUUUACAGCGGACUUCGGUCCUGUCUGCACCCUUGUCUUUUGCGUACUAUAUGUUUCCUCGGUGGGCUUGCCUGCCGAUAGGACACUUAUAAACUCUUUUGUAAUUGCAAUCAGCGUCAGAAAACUAUAGUAGUUACAACUUUCAACAAUGGAUCUCU
RNAcentral lists this unclassified non-coding RNA (199 nucleotides) under soil metagenome. RNAcentral describes it as "partial contains 5.8S ribosomal RNA, internal transcribed spacer 2, and large subunit ribosomal RNA". The record is from RNAcentral.